UCCCUCCUUCAAGUGAUACACGCAAUUUGGUCAUUUAUUACACGUUGAAUGGCUACUACUGCAGCCGAUUGGAGCGAUCCUGCUCGUUACGCCUAUGCCUCGCUGUUGGCCUUGAGUUUGAAUGAACGUCACAGCCACGAGUCGUGUGAUCCUGAAUUUCGCCAGCAAUCCCUGCGUCGUCUGCUCGAGCACGUCAAACUCAUGCGGUGCGAGCCGAUGAUGCAAUUGCUGAUGGAAUCCGAGUCGGGCCACACCAGAGAUCCGUACGUUCAAAUGUUAUUGGAGGAGCCGGAAUUUCACGGUGACGGAACCCGAGUCGUUUACGACGCAUUACAAUGGGCUCUAAUGCUCGGCAAUUAUGACGCUCGUAUUCGAGUUAUCCUUCACGAAUGGGCCACCCAACUGUUUGGAUUGAGCGUGGAACACUUUGAAAUGCUGGAAGACGCCAUCGUCCAUCGAGUGGAACGAGGACUCCGUACCAAAACUUUGCAGGAAGAAGAACGAGAGAAGAAGGAAAUGAAAAUGAAAAAAGCCAAGAAAUUCGCAUGGAUUGGAGCCGCUUCCGUCGGCGGAGGCGUUCUGGUCGGUCUGACUGGCGGAUUAGUGGCACCACUGGUCGCCGGAAGUUUAGCGGCUCUCCUGGGUGUGGGCGGUGGAGCUGCAGCGGCUGGAAGUGUGGCGGGAGCGGCCGUGAUUGGUUCGCUGUUUGGUGCGGCCGGCGCCGGCGUGUCGGGCUACAAGAUGAACAAACGAGUGGGCGACGUUGAAGAGUUUUUCUUUGUUCGUCUGUCACCUGGCGAAGGCUCACGACUGCACGUCACCAUUUGCUGUCCCGGUUGGCUUCCGCCGCCCGAUCAAAAUCAAUUGGCAGAAGAAUUUGAAGACGAAAAUAGCGACGACGACGACGAUGAAAUAGAAGAAUCCAUUGAACGACGUCUGAUGCAAUCGUUUGACGGAUUGAUUCAUUCCCGGGAGCAGUACGGACUCCAAUACGAGACGAAAUAUCUGGCCGAAAUGGGACGUGCCAUCGAUGCCGUUUGCAGAUUGGCCAUUUCAAUGGCGGCCACCGAAGUCCUUAAAAUGACCAUUUUUCACGGUUUAGUCACGGCUGUUGCUCUUCCACGAACCAUCCUUAGUUUGACAUCCGUCAUUGAUAAUCCAUGGAACGUCUGCUGUAACCGGAGCGCCCAGGUCGGGCAAAUGCUGGCCGAGACGUUGAUGGAUGGCACAUUCGGACGUCGGCCCGUCACUCUACUUGGAUUCAGCCUAGGAGCCCGGGUCGUCUAUUUCUGCCUCAAGGAGCUGCACAGGAGAGGUGGACGAGGGAUCGUUCAGGACGCUGUUCUGAUCGGCACUCCCGUCACUGGUAAUCCUAGUGAAUGGCGGCCGUUACUGGACGUCGUUGCCGGACAACUGGUCAACGCCUUUUCCCGCAACGACUGGGUCUUGAAAAUUGUUUGCCGGACAGCGUCGGCGGCUUAUGACGUGGCGGGACUGGAGGGCGUCGAUAUCCAACACGAUCAACUCGUCAACGUCGACCUUUCUCAUCUAAUCAGCGGUAGGUCACGGCGACUACAGGACCAAAGCUGACCAAUGCCUCAAGGCUAUCGCAUUGCUCCGCGUCAUCCCGAUAACAACAACAACCACGUCGCAACAACAGCAACAACAAUCGCAAAGUCAACAGGACGACCGGCCCAUUCCGGAUGGAGGAGAGAAGGAGGAGGUGGGCGGAUGUCGAGAUGCCAAUUCCACCUGAUUAGAUUGUAAUCUAUUAUCAUCCGCAUUCCGCAAUCACGACUCAUUAAUGACGAAUAACCGCCUCCAUUCCAUUAGAGUCUGAGAGACCAAUACAAUUUCUCUUGUGCGCAGA
This 1870-nucleotide unclassified non-coding RNA is filed under the name Daphnia pulex (common water flea). RNAcentral's name for it is "transmembrane and coiled-coil domain-containing protein 4-like, transcript variant X1". Lineage: Eukaryota; Metazoa; Arthropoda; Branchiopoda; Diplostraca; Daphniidae. The record is from RNAcentral.